UUCACUCCUCCAUUUGUGACAUAGAUAAAUAUGUAAGACAUAGAUAGUUAUCCAUCUCAGAAAUGCUUAACAUUGAUUAUAGAAUUGAAAAGAUUUAUUAUUACAAUUAUAGCAAAUAUCCUUUUAUAGGAUUUAGAAUUUAUCCAACUAACUAUUACAUGUUUACCAUACUACCCUUGAUGAUUUAACCUCUAAUACCCCCUCUUAAAUCAGUAAUUGUUGGAGUAGUAAUAACUAACUAUUCAAGUGUAAGUAGAACUGCAGAACAUGGAUUGAAAACCCAGCGCGCUUUUUAAUUCUUUUGCAUCUUUUCUUUUAAUUCUGGGAAAAUAUUUGUCCUACUUAUCUGUCCACUUGUUAUUCUCAUCAUUAUUCACAGUCAUUCCUUUUCUUAAAAGGAAGAGAGAGUUAAACCAAACCACAAAGAGAGUUUCAGAUCCUGACUUGUGAUUUAUCCAGUCUAAUCAUCUGAAAGAAAAAAAAUACACACAAAAUAUUCCAAGUUAGGUUAUAGAUCGAUCAAACAUGAAAUUUUAAUUUUAAUAACCUGCAAAGAUUAAUAUAAAUAUUUUGUGAUACUGCAUUAGUAAAAAUAUCUGCCAAUUGAUUUUCGGAACAUACAUGUCUAACUUUUAAAUGAUUUUUAGAUAUUAAUUCUCUAAUGAAAUGAAUGUCUGUUUCUAUAUGUUUUGAUUUUUGUUUAAUCAUUGGAUUUUUAACCAUAAAAAUUGCCGAUUUGUUAUCAUAAAAUAAUUAUGGUACACAAUGUAUUGGAAAACAUAGGUCUCUGCAUAUAAAUGUUGUCCAUCUAAUUUCUGCAGCUAGGGUUGCUAAUGCUCUAUAUUAUGCUUCUGCACUGGAUCUAGAUACUGUACCUUAUUUUUUAGAUAUCCAUGUUUCCAGAUUUCCUUCAAUAAAAACAUAUAAAACUGUUGUCGAUUUUCUAGAGUCUGGGUCUCCUGCAAAAUCAGCAUCAUAGUACCCAAAAAUUUUAUUCUUUUCAGACGUUUUGGUGAAAUGUAGUUCAUUACCAAGUAUUCCUUUGAUAUAUCUUAGAAUUCUCUUAGCUGCCGCUAAAUGUCCUGUUCUAGGCUCAUGAACAAACUGAGCAACUUGAUUUAUUGCAUAAACCAGAUCUGGUCUUGUUUGACUUAGAUAUUGCAAAGAUCCAACCAAAGCUCUAUAGUUUGUAACAUCUUUGACUAAUUCACCAUCAUUCAUUUUUAGUUUUGAAUUUGGUAUUACUCGUGAACUACAAGAUUUACAGUUCAUCAUAUUAUAUUUUGAUAGUAUGUUGAUGGCAUACCUAGAUUGAUUCAUAUAUAUGCUAUCCGCUAUCAAAACAACUGAAUUAUUGAUGGCGGAAAUCCGUUAUCUAAAGGCCGCCAUACAAGGUCCUUUUUUUUGUAGUGUGAAUACCCACUUGGUUCCUAUUAAAUUUACUUUCUUAUCUGGUGGAACUAGAUUCCAAGUAUUAUUUUCUAUUAACGCCAUGUAUUCUUCAUCCAUAGCUUGUUUCCAGUGAGGUAUUUUUAUGGCAUCUUUGAAAUUUUUAGGAGUCAAGGUGUUGUUUUCAAUUACCUCAGCAAUCAAUGCCUUGGGUAAGUUUACUUCAUAAAUGUUGUAUUUUUUUGGGAAUGUUAUAGACCUUUGAGUUCUCCUUAACUCUUCUGUGUGAUUUUGAAAUUCUCUUACAGUUGUGACGGGAACCGACUGACUUGUUUCAACCGAGUCUGUGUUUUCAAGUGUUACUUCUACUGUGUUUUCAGAAGAUACAUCUUCUGUGUUAUUUUGUUCAGAUGUUGUAGAAGUACUGUUUGGUAAACUACUUGAAAUCGUUUGUUGUUCGAAAAUAUUGUUUCCAGAAUUGGCACUUUCUUCCGUCUGUGUGGUCUCAUCAACUGUGUUGUUACUAUCAUGAUUUAUCUGUUGAAUGAUAGGAGCUUGAGUAUUUGGUUCUAUAACUAUAUCUUUAUUACCUGAUAUAGGUAAAUGUAAAAAUUCUUCCGUCGUGAUUUCUUUCUUUGAAGUGUUUAUUUUGUAAUCUUUGAAUGGAUAAACAUCUUCAUAGAAUUGAACAUGUCUAAAUAUGAUGAUUGUUGAGUCCUUAAGUUUUUAAACAUUUAUAUGCUUUAUGCACUGGUGAGUAUCCAAGAAAACAACAAUAAUUUGAUGUUAGUUUAAAUUUGUUUCUAAAAUUCUUAGGUAUCAACGGAAAACAUAAUGAUCCAAACACUCUUAAGUAAUUUAAAUCUGAGUUUUUCUUAUAUAGAGCAGAAAAAGGUGAUUUAAAACCUAAUGGUUUUGAAGGAAGUCUAUUUAUUGAAUAGAUAGCAGCUGAACAUGCCUCUGCCCAAUAUUGUUUAGGUACUUCAGAUUGUGAAUAAAAAACAUGACUGUACCAAUUAUCUGGCCAUGUCUUCUUUCUACAAGACCAUUCUGUUCAAGAGUAUAAGGUGAAAAAAAUAUAUGAAAAAUUCCUAAUUCAUUACAAAAAAAAUUUUAAUUUCUGAUUGCAAAAUUCCCCACCUCCAUCUGUUUGUAUUAUUUUAAUAGUGUGUUCUAAUGAUUUUUCUAUCAUUAUUUGAAAUCUUUUGAAAGUUUCAAAUACUUGAUCUUUUGUUUUCAAAGGGAAGAACCAACAAAAUCUAGAGAAUUCAUCAAUAAUUAAGAGAUAGUAUUUAUCUCCAUUAAUUGAUUCAGUUGGAGCUAGGCCCCAUACAUCGAUAUGAAAUAUUUCUAACGGUAUAUUACUAUAUUCUUCCCUAUAAUUAAAUGGUUUCUUUUUCAUUUUAUUUAGAGGACAAUGUAUACAAUUUUGUUUUAAAUUUUUAUGAUUAAUUUCAUGAUGUUUUAACAGUACUUGAUCUGAAGGGUGUUCACACCUUCUAUGCCAUAAUUCUGUUGAAUUUAUUGUUAACUUAGAAGUUGCAACCAACUUCUUAAUUUUAUAUAUGUUUGAUGAGUUUAGAUAGUAUAAGCCUCCAUGGCUUUUACCCUUGAUUAAAUCCUUACCACUUUCAUUGUCUUGGAUAAUGAAUCCAGAUUCAUUUAAAAUGAAACUACAUUUUAAAUCCUUGGUCAUUGAUCUUAUGGAUAACAAGUUCAUUUUCAUGUCGGGAACACAAAGAGUAUUCCUUAAUGGAAUCUCUCCAUUGUUUGACUUUAAUCUAGCAGUUCCUAUAUGUGAAAUUUUUAAACCUAAACCAUUACCAAUCGUAAUAUUAUCCAUACCAGAAUAUUUUUGAACGUCAGAAAGAGCUUCUAAGUCAGGAGGCAUGUGAUUAGUCACUCUUGAAUCAAGUAGCCAGUUUCCUUCUGGAGCAUCUUCAUUUGUUUCCAUGGCCGCAACAAAAGCUUUCAAUCCUUUCUUGCACGACCUAGCAUUGUGACCUGCCUUUUCACAGAGUUGACAGACUAUUGAACUGUUGUUACCUAAGCUGCUAUUGGUCGACCGACGCCACCUGUUGUUGUUUGAUCUAUCUCUAUUAUUAUUGUUGUAAUUUUGUCUAUUGUUGUUGUUGUAGUAGUAGUCUCUGUUUAUGUUAUGAAGAUUUUGUCCUCUCUUAUAAUUUGUAGCAAAUGCAGCGGGUACAUCAGAGUUUGCCGGAUUUGUCAAAUUCAUUCUAUGAAUGUAUUUAUCUUCCUGAAUGACUAGUUGUACAAACUCGUCAAAAAGUAAAUUUCGUUGGAAACGUAACCCCGAAAUAAAAGGACGGAAAUCCGCACCCAGUCCAUCUGUGACAAAAUCUAUUUUUGUCUUGUCAGUGACAACUUCACCGGCUGCUGCCAAAGAAUCAGUUAAAGAUGUUACUUUGAUUCUAAAAUCCCUAAUUGAUUCAUUUUCCCUUUUCUUUAAAAAUCUUAGUUCAUCCCGAAUUGCUUGUUGAUGUACUGCCUUCCUUGGUGAUAAAUGUAAUUCUAGUUUCUUCCAACACUCAUACGCCGUACUGUGGUUCAUUACCAAUGAAAACAUCGGUGGUCCAACUAAAGAUUGAAUCCAUCCCAAUACUGCCCAGUUCUUUUCUAACCAUAUCUUAUAAGCUGGAUUAGGUGAGCCGUCACCUCUCUUUUCAAGGGGAAUUUCUUAUUUGUCAUCUACAAUAUCAGAGACAUGGUUCAACCAGAAUAAGUUCUCCAUUUGACCUCUCCAAAACAGAUAUGUUGAAGCUCCUUCUAACGGAGUUCUAAUCCAGUGGGAAACUUGGCAUUUAUAUAGAGAAUCAGGGAGAGUAGCCUUAUCAUGGUUUGCCAUCAGGGAAAAAAAUUUCACUGCAGUGAAAAUAAAAGACAAAUUUCACUACUGCAGCUUUCUAAAUGAAUCGCAAAAUCAAAUGCGAUAAAGACUUUUUUAUUUAUUUUUAUUUACUGAAUAUCACUAUUGAUAUAUCAGUAAUCUUACUAAAAAAAAAUUACACAAACAAACAAUCUAAGAAGAAACAAUCGCAACUAAACAAACUAGGCAACAAAACAAAACAAAUUCAAUCUGAAAUUAAAACAAUCGCAACUAAUCAUCUAAUAAGCAACCAAGAGAAAUAAGAGAGAGAGAGAAAAAAAUAAGAAAAAUUGACCUGCAACAACACUCACAACCUGUUAUCAAAAUUCAAGCAGAGAAGAUGAUAAAAAAAAUACAAAAAAAAAAAAUCUAACCUGUAAUCGCUAAUCUGCAGAAUCUGUGAUUUUCAAAAAACUACCAAAAGAAAAGAAAAAAAACAACUACAAAUUGCAGCCACACAAUUCAAUUCAAUUCAACAGAAGAAUCAAUCAAAUUGUGCACAGAAAUAACUCUCGUUUAAAUUCAGUAAAGGGAAAAAACAAAAUAAUCAGAACAGAAUCGCAAAAGAACAAAAAAAUCAACGGAAUGAGAAAUCAGAAAUCGCAAAAGAAAAUCAACGAAACUCUCUAAAAAUCGUAAGAAUCAGAAAUCGAAACCAGAACAGAAGAUGAAAUCAACUGGAAUCCGACUUCCGUAUGAUCUAAAUCGCGAUCAGAAAUCAAUAGAUCAACGAAAAUCGCACACGAUCGAUAGUGGAAAACAACGAUAAGCAAAUAUCAAUAGUGGAAACAAACAAAUACACACGAUCACACACGAUCGAUAGUGGAAACAAACAAACAAACAAGCAAAAAAAUCGAUAUGGAAAUCAUUCGAUCAACACAAAUCGCGCACGAUCGGGGAGAAAAAAAACAUUGAUCAGAAAUAAUCGAUCGGGAAAAACAAAAUAAAUCCAAAACGAAAUAACUAAAUCGAUAGUGGAAAAAACAACGAUCGAACAAAAAACGCUAAAUUGAGAUAACGAUCAGAAAUAACGCUAAAACGCGCGAUUAGAAGAAACAAGAAAAAAAAAAAUUAAAACUCGAUCAGAUCGGAAAUCAAAUCUCGAUCAGAUCGGAAAUCAAAACUCAGAUUAAAAUCGCAAUCAAGAUCUAAGAUGAACAGAAUCAAGAUCUAAAAUUACCUAAAUCAAGAUCUGAGAAAUUAAAAUUACCUAAAAUCAAACCUGAGAAGAAUCGACGCGGAAGACAAGCGCAGAUCCGACACGAACGCGGGAAACAAAGGCGCUUGCGGGAAGAAUCGCAGUAACUCAGAUGAAUCUGCAACUUCCAGUAGAUGAAAUCGCGGAAGAAGACGAUCUCACAGAGGAAUUCAAUCAAUGAAGCUAGAAAACUGAUACCAUCUCAGAAAUGCUUAACAUUGAUUAUAGAAUUGAAAAGAUUGAUUAUUACAAUUAUAGCAAAUAUCCUUUUAUAAAAUUUAGAGUUUAUCCAACUAACUAUUACAUGUUUACCAUAUUACCCUUGAUGAUUUAACCUCUAAUAGUGCAUGCAUGGUACAGUUCAUAGAAUAUAAUUAGAUUGUAAAUAUAUCUGUUUCAUCAUUUUCA
RNAcentral lists this long non-coding RNA (5882 nucleotides) under Zostera marina. RNAcentral describes it as "long non-coding RNA (ZMAR_LNC001064)". Lineage: Eukaryota; Viridiplantae; Streptophyta; Magnoliopsida; Alismatales; Zosteraceae. The record is from RNAcentral.